This 72-nucleotide transfer RNA is filed under the name Candidatus Vidania fulgoroideorum. Its description in RNAcentral is "beta proteobacterium endosymbiont of Hyalesthes obsoletus HO1-V tRNA". It matches the Rfam family "tRNA". Rfam says of the family: Transfer RNA (tRNA) molecules are approximately 80 nucleotides in length. Their secondary structure includes four short double-helical elements and three loops (D, anti-codon, and T loops). Lineage: Bacteria; Pseudomonadati; Pseudomonadota; Betaproteobacteria. The record is from Rfam by way of RNAcentral.
AUGUUAAUAGCUUAAUGGAAAAGUGCUAGUUUGUGGUACUAGAAGAUAUGAGUUCGAUUCUCAUUUAAUAUC